AGCGAACGCUGGCGGCAGGCCUAACACAUGCAAGUCGAACGAACUCUUCGGAGUUAGUGGCGGACGGGUGAGUAACACGUGGGAACGUGCCUUUAGGUUCGGAAUAACUCAGGGAAACUUGUGCUAAUACCGAAUGUGCCCUUCGGGGGAAGGAUUUAUCGCCUUUAGAGCGGCCCGCGUCUGAUUAGCUAGUUGGUGAGGUAAAGGCUAACCAAGGCGACGAUCAGUAGCUGGUCUGAGAGGAUGAUCAGCCACAUUGGGACUGAGACACGGCCCAAACUCCUACGGGAGGCAGCAGUGGGGAAUCUUGCGCAAUGGGCGAAAGCCUGACGCAGCCAUGCCGCGUGAAUGAUGAAGGUCUUAGGAUUGUAAAAUUCUUUCACCGGGGACGAUAAUGACGGUACCCGGAGAAGAAGCCCCGGCUAACUUCGUGCCAGCAGCCGCCGUAA
Molecule: ribosomal RNA, 449 nt
Filed under: uncultured bacterium
Lineage: Bacteria
Description: partial 16S ribosomal RNA
Rfam family: Bacterial small subunit ribosomal RNA
Source: RNAcentral